GAACUUUGACCUGGAGAUACCAUGAUCACAAAAAGUGGUUUUCCCAGGGUGAGACUCAUCCAUUGUAUUCCAGGUGUGCUGACCCUUGCGAUUUCCCCAAAUGCAGGAAACUCGACUGCGUAAUUUGUCGUAGUUGCUGGACUACAACUCCCAU
This is a non-coding RNA of Podarcis lilfordi (Lilford's wall lizard), 154 nucleotides long. The record is from the annotation of a GenBank genome assembly. Lineage: Eukaryota; Metazoa; Chordata; Lepidosauria; Squamata; Lacertidae.